UCAGGCCUAACACAUGCAAGUCGAACGGUAACGCGGGGCAACCUGGCGACGAGUGGCGAACGGGUGAGUAAAGCAUCGGAACGUGCCCAGUAGUGGGGGAUAGCCCGGCGAAAGCCGGAUUAAUACCGCAUACGACCUAUGGGUGAAAGCGGGGGACCGUAAGGCCUCGCGCUAUUGGAGCGGCCGAUGUCAGAUUAGGUAGUUGGUGGGGUAAAGGCCUACCAAGCCGACGAUAUGUAGCUGGUCUGAGAGGACGACCAGCCACACUGGGACUGAGACACGGCCCAGACUCCUACGGGAGGCAGCAGUGGGGAAUUUUGGACAAUGGGCGCAAGCCUGAUCCAGCCAUGCCGCGUGCGGGAAGAAGGCCUUCGGGUUGUAAACCGAUUUGGUCAGGGAAGAAACGCUCUGGGUUAAUACCCUGGGGUA
Molecule: ribosomal RNA, 429 nt
Filed under: uncultured bacterium
Lineage: Bacteria
Description: bacterial SSU rRNA
Rfam family: Bacterial small subunit ribosomal RNA
Source: RNAcentral